Molecule: ribosomal RNA, 333 nt
Filed under: Rexea solandri (silver gemfish)
Lineage: Eukaryota; Metazoa; Chordata; Actinopteri; Scombriformes; Gempylidae
Description: partial 12S ribosomal RNA
Rfam family: Bacterial small subunit ribosomal RNA
Source: RNAcentral
AGGAACAUACAUCCCCUAUCCGCCCGGGUACUACAAGCAUUAGCUUAAAACCCAAAGGANUUGGCGGUACUUUAGAUCCCCCUAGAGGAGCCUGUUCUGUAACCGAUAACCCNNUUCAACCUCACCCUCCCUUGUUUAUCCCGCUAUAUACCGCCGUCGUCAGCUUACCUGUGAGACUAAUAGUAAGCAAAAUUGCAUCGCCAGAACGUCAGGUCCAGGUNUAGCGCAUGAGAGGGGAAGAAAUGGGCUACAUUCGCUAACGUAGCGAAUACGAACGAUGUACUGAAAACGUACAUCCGAAGGAGGAUUUAGCAGUAAGUGGAAAAUAGAGUG